CCAUUUCCCGGCAGCGCCGGGCGCGGGGCGGAGCGGCGAUGGCGGAGCGGGGCCGCGGCUGGGCCCGGGCCGUGAGGGGGCUGCUGCUCGAUGUCAGCGGGGUCCUGUACGACAGCGGCGCCGGCGGCGGCGUCCCCAUCGCCGGCUCGGCCGAGGCCGUGCGCAGGAUCAAAGCCUCUGGGCUGAAGCUGCAGCUCUGCACCAACGAGACGCAGGCGACGCGGGAGAAUUUUGUGCGGAAGCUGCGGGCCAUGGGCUUCGACAUCUCGGCGGCCCAAGUGACGGCGCCGGCGCCGGCCGCCUGCCGCCUCCUGAGGGAGCGCGGCCUGAGGCCACACCUGCUGGUGCACGAUGAUCUUGUCCCUGAAUUUGCUGAGAUCAAUAAGACAAACCCAAACUGUGUGGUUCUUGGAGAUGCAGCAGAAAACUUCACCUAUGCAAACCUGAACGAGGCUUUCCGACUUCUGAUUGGGAUGGAGAAGCCUGUUUUGAUCUCCCUUGGAAAAGGACGCUACUAUAAAGAAACUGAUGGUCUGAAACUUGAUGUUGGAGCAUAUAUGAAGGCAUUAGAGUAUGCUUGUGAUGUGCAGGCUGAGGUGGUGGGGAAACCAGCAAAAACGUUUUUUGAGUCAGCCCUGGCAGAACUGGGAGUUCCACCAGAGCAGGCCAUCAUGAUCGGGGAUGACAUCGUGAAUGAUGUUGGGGGAGCGCAGCAGUGUGGGAUGAGAGCGCUGCAGGUGCGGACGGGCAAGUACAGGGAGUUGUGGUGAACACUGAACCCUGCACAGAUUCAGGAAGAGGCAAGAUUAAGGCUUUGUUAAAGCAGGAUAAAUGCAUUAGAGUUCCACUGAAAACAGAGGAGGCCGUCCGAUGAAAACCACCCCGAGGUGAAGCCUGAUGCCUACGUGAACAACCUGGCUGAGGCUGUGGACAUCAUCCUCCAGGAGCUGUAAAUCCCAGCAGGAGCAGGGAUGAGCCCUCACCUGCAGCCCCUCCAUGGAACCACUUCAUCCUCUCCCACCUCCAUCGCACCUGAAUGAACCCAGCCCAGCCUUGUGCAGGGUGGUGGGCACCCACCUUCCAAAAUAUUUCACCUGAUGGUACUAAAAUGUUCUGCUGACCUCUCAUCCAUGGAGCACCAAACCUGCUGUCCUCUGGAAAGCCUUGAAUGUCCUUGAAUGGUGCCUGUGAGGGCCUCAGCCUCUGGGUGAUGCUGGGGGGCUUUCCCCCUUUUUAUCUUUGCUCACACUGGGGACCCAGCCUGAGGUGGGAAACAGGGAACCCAGGCACCCCAUCAUGAAUGGAUUUACCUGUUUAACCCCCAUGUCCUGUGCCUUUUGGGGAGCCUGAGUGGCAUGGGGCAUGUCCCUGGGGGCUGAUGGAGGCCACCAAGCUCCUGUGCCUCGGGUGGCACAAAGGCCCUGGGGAGGGGGACAGCCCCACGUGCCUUGGCAAGGCAGGAACUGUGGUUCUGCCAGGAUCAGCCCAUCUGGAGCAGCCCCAUGAAUCAGUAACACAUUAGGGAAUAACAGCACCAUCCUGUCUGGAAUAAACCCUGUCCUUUGGAUCUGGCCUGUUUUGUCAUCGUGUUCAGUUGGAUCAGCACUGGCAGGGGUGUUUACAGGACCUGAAAUGCUUUUCCCCAACUGGAAAAGCUGGAAAAGGCCAUGGGACUGAUGGUCUUUGCCUUCUCUCUGUGAGGGGGUCUUGUGAGCAGCCUGUGUGUGGGGGGGUGUGGGUUUCCUGAUUAAAAUCCUGGAUGUGCAGUCCCUGAGCUGUUGGGGCCGAGUCAGACACAGCUCCAGCUGAAAAUGGACUUUUCACAAGGGCAUGUAUUGAUAGAACAAGGGGGAAUAGCUUCAAAAGGUUUAGAUUGGAUUUUGGGAAGAAAUUGCUCCCUGUGAGGGUGGGGAGACCCUGGCACAGUUUGCCCAGAGAAGCUGUGGCUGCUUCACUCCUGGAAGUGCCCAAGGCCAGGUAGGAUGGGGCUGGGAGCAGCCUGGGACAGUGGAAGGUGUCCCUGCCCAUGGCAGGGAUGGAGCAGGAUGAGCUUUAAGGUCCCUUCAGCCCAAACUAUUGUGGGAUUCCAGGAUUCUGUGCUCACUGAACCUCCCCAUGUGCCUGCUGAGAAUCUGCUGGAGUUUCAGCUCCAGCUGAGCCCCCUCCUGCUGCCAGGAGUGCUCAGCACAUCCAGGGCCAGGACAGGCAUGAGAUUUGCCUUUUUCCUGCUAAUCAGAAUAAGGAUUUCUGAAAGGAGCUGCUCCCUGCCUCCAGGCACUGCAGCCCUUCCCCAGGGAUUUUGGUUUCUCUGUCAGUUUUGCAGUGCAGCUGUUGCAGCAUGUGUGGUAACACCUGACCAUGCUGCACCUGGCAAGAGCAUGGAAGGGGCUCAAAAUGGGUCAAAAAAUGAAAAGAUUAGGGGUUGUUCCUGCAGGUCCUCUUCCCACCCUCACUUGACACAUGGCAGUGUUUGCAAGGGUCACCUUUUAGAGGCUAAAGUCCCCUUUUAAUCAACAUACCAGCAGCUCUUUACCCCCUUGGGCUUUGGGCAAGACUUUAGGCUUUAACCUGCUUCAGUUCUCCAGGGGACCAUGGAAAUCAUGUAAUUAUGUUUGUGUUACACAUAUUUAAUAUAUAUCCAUACUCUCAGGCAGCAUUUGCUGGCCACUACAUUCAGCCACUGCUCUCUGCAUCUGCAAGCAGGAGGUAAAGGAUAAUUCAAGCUGCUUCCAGCAGUCCCAACAGCUGAACUCGACCCCAGUGACUGAAGGACACCAAAAUGAUGCUCUGUGUUUCUGGAGUUUUGGAACACUUGUUUUUCAGAGCUACCAGCUGGCCCUGGAGCUGAAUAGCACCCCUUGGGGACAGCAGGGGAAAGGGGGCUGGGAAUUAAGUUCUAAUAAAAUAAACUACAUCUGA
This is an RNA transcript of Taeniopygia guttata (zebra finch), 2919 nucleotides long. It is a transcript of the gene named phospholysine phosphohistidine inorganic pyrophosphate phosphatase, with no coding region annotated. The record is from RefSeq and is marked provisional. NCBI's taxonomy places the organism in Eukaryota, Metazoa, Chordata, Aves, Passeriformes, Estrildidae.